CCCGGGCAGCCUGCGGGGGGCAGCGAGGCGCAAAGACCAUGCCCCAAGAGCCGAGGGAAAGUCCUGAGAUGCGCGGCUUGGGACGCUGGCGGCCAAGCUCCGACGCGGGGCUGGGUGCACCUGGACGCACCUGGACGCACCUCACACGCCGCGAGCUAAGCAGAAAAGGGAGGCAGGCUGCCCCGACACCCCACUACUCACCGCUAGGUUUCCGCCUGGCGCCGAUCCGGCUGCGUCACGCCGGCCGAACGACACCCCGCUGAGUCGCCGCCGCAGGGAAAGUACCUUCGGCCCCAACGGGAAAAGCCAAUUUCCAGUAAUUCGCGCCCGACCACCGGAGAGAGACAGAGUCUUGCACUGUUGCCCAGGCUGGAGUACAGUGGCGCAUUCUUGGCUCACUGCAACCUCCACCUCCCGGGUUCAAGAGAUUCUCCUGCCUCAGCCUCCCGAGUAGCUGGGAUUACAGGCGCCUGCCACCACGCCCAGCUAAUUUUUUGUAUUUUUAGUAGAGACAGGGUUUCACCAUGUUGGCCAGGCUGGUCUCGAACUCCUGACCUCAUGAUUCACCCACCUCAGCCUCCCAGAGUGUUGGGAUUACAGGCGUGAGCCACCGCGCCCGGCCAAGAUGAACAUUUUUUAAAACCAAUUUUUCAGGUAUAAGAUUUCUAGCCAAAGGAAAAUUUUGUUGUAUUUAUUCUAACAUUUGCUGUAAUUUGGUAUUAUGUGGUAUUUCUUUUGUGCUUUAACCAAAAUCAUGCUAGAUUUAGAUGCCAAUAAAUGCACAAUUUGAAUUGAAAACAGUCUUUUUACCUUCCAAAUAAUUUA
This 825-nucleotide non-coding RNA is filed under the name Pan troglodytes (chimpanzee). The record is from RNAcentral. Lineage: Eukaryota; Metazoa; Chordata; Mammalia; Primates; Hominidae.